CUGUCUCCAGAAAACAAAAAAAAAGCUGGAAUGACACAGAAAAAAUUAGCAUGGCUCUUCUCAAGGAUGACUGGCCAACUCUAAAGUGGUCUAUAUUAUA
Small nuclear RNA from Cricetulus griseus (Chinese hamster), 100 nucleotides. The record is from Ensembl. NCBI's taxonomy places the organism in Eukaryota, Metazoa, Chordata, Mammalia, Rodentia, Cricetidae.